ACCAGACUCCUACGGGAGGCAGCAGUCGGGAAUAUUGCGCAAUGGAGGAAACUCUGACGCAGUGACGCCGCGUGCAGGAAGAAGGUUUUCGGAUUGUAAACUGCUUUAGACAGGGAAGAAAAAAGACAGUACCUGUAGAAUAAGCUCCGGCUAACUACGUGCCAGCAGCCGCGGUAAUACGUAGGGAGCGAGCAUUAUCCGGAUUUAUUGGGUGUAAAGGGUGCGUAGACGGGAAGUUAAGUUAGUUGUGAAAUCCCAAGGCUCAACUUUGGAACUGCAACUAAAACUAAUUUUCUUGAGUACUGGAGAGGAAAGUGGAAUUCCUAGUGUAGCGGUGAAAUGCGUAGAUAUUAGGAGGAACACCAGUGGCGAAGGCGACCGCCUGGCCUGUUGCUGACGCUGAGGCACGAAAGCGUGGGGAGCAAAUAGGAUUAGAUACCCCCGUA
RNAcentral lists this ribosomal RNA (446 nucleotides) under uncultured bacterium. Its description in RNAcentral is "partial 16S ribosomal RNA". It matches the Rfam family "Bacterial small subunit ribosomal RNA", at positions 330 to 792 of the family's 1533-position model. The record is from RNAcentral.